RNAcentral lists this non-coding RNA (29 nucleotides) under Rattus norvegicus (Norway rat). Lineage: Eukaryota; Metazoa; Chordata; Mammalia; Rodentia; Muridae. The record is from RNAcentral.
UGAUUUUUUUUCAGUAUGUGUGGCCCCUU